UCGAGAGAAAAAGAAUUUUUGGAAAAUUUUAAGAUUUUUGAAGAUUUUUUACAGGUCCGGGGUCACAGAUUUUUUCAAAAAAUGACUAAGUUCUUUUUCUCCUUAUAUGACCUAAAUAUUCAUCCAAAACACUCCGAAUGAUGUUUCUAGCGUAUUUUCAGGCAUCGAUGGUUGUUUCGAGAAAAAAACUUUAAUAACAAAUUUUCAGAUAUUUUUACUUUUUACCGGUCAAUGGUCCAGAUUUUUGAAAGAUCACUCGGUGUUUCAUUUGCAAUACAUGCCGUGCAACUUUUCAAGAUAACUUUUUUCCUGUUUUAAUAUAUCAUGAGCCGUUAGGUUGUUUGGAGUGAAAAAUUUUGUUUUUUUCAUGCCUAUUUCUCAAUCUUUUUUGCAGCAAUAAUGCAUCGUUUUUUAAUCUUUACAAAUAUUUUUCAGAUGUCAGUUGGAUGCUGACAGACUUUAUUCACAAUGACUUCAGAAAGAUGUCACUUGGAUGCUCACAGAUUUGUUACACAAUGACUUCAGAAAGAUGUCACUUGGAUGCUGACAGACUUGAUUCACAAUGACUUCAGAAAGAAUAUAGUUGAGCGUGUGCUGGCCAUGGAGGGUUGCUGCAGAAGGGCCGUGGAGUCCUUCAGAUAAGUCCUUAUUUUCAAAGAAUGGUGUUUUGAAUUGGAAACACCGGGCAAUGAAGUGGAGACUACCUUCGCUUGCCAGUUUUGCCUCAGGGCCUUAAUGACUCUUUGGACCUUUUGCUUUUAGUCACUUUUAAAUUUUAAGAAAUUUUUAUCUUUGCGUGUUUACUUUUUAAGAAGGGGGAUGGUGAAACUGUUAAGGAUUCGGGAUUUUAAGUUAUUUUAAUUAGUUCGAUUCUUUCAUUGAUUCUGUUUGUAACUCCUUUUCCGGGAAAUGUGCGUCACUGUCAUCGUGUUGUGAUUUUUCAGUGUUCCUUUGUUAUUGUUUUAAUAUCAUGUAAUCCGAGUUAGAAUAAUUUAGUCUUACUGUUUUGAUAAUAGAGGUAGCAUCAACGAAGAGGUAUCUCUUGUGUGCUAUCUGUUCGGGUCUUAGGCCCAUUGGGCUAGCCCAUUGUUUCGUCAUAACAAGAACCCGUACACGCUACAAAUUGGUGAUAGAGGCUACGAACCCGUACACGCUAUUUAAAUUUAAUUUUUUAGUUUUUAGGGUGGGCGUUAAUUAGGAAGUGGACGUUGAUCCAAUAAUUCCCGAAAACAAAUUAGUGUACCUUAUCCUCUGAAUUUCUUCCAAAAAUCUCAGAAAAAUUAUCCACCGGAGAAAAUAGAACAACCUCAAAACAACCAAACAACAAUUUAUCAAACACUGUCAUAACAAAACAAAUGAAUAACAAAUAAGUCUCACGAUGGUAGUACUAGUCUAUACAAAGUUCUUCAUCACUUUCACGGUCAGAGUCGAUCAAAUUUUGUGGAUCAUUGGCAUCUUCCACGUCAGAAUCCGUGACGUUCGCAAAUUGAUUUGUAGUACCGUUAAAUGGAGCGUUAACGUACAGGGGCGUUAAAUAGAAAUGGAGCGUUAUCAAGAAAGUGGGCUUUAGUUAACAUUUUUUACUUUUAGGGUGGGCGUUAGUUAGGAAGGGGCCUUAAAAAGGAAGGGGGCGUUAAAUAGAUCAAAUACGGUAUUCGCCGUCCUAAGAAGAACCCUAUCGUUACACCUUCAAGACUUUGUUUGACAUCUUGGUCCCUUACUUUCAAAUACGUUUCGCCGACUCUGCAGUAGCAACAAGACAGGUUUCUAGUCGCCACAUGAUUGGGCUUCAGCUGUCACAUGUAGAUUUUAAGCGAUUAUGUGCUUAAACAUUAGCGAUGACGCGUUCAUGUUUUAUUGUUCAUAUGACUAUCCUAAAGUGCUGUACAUACCUUUCUUUGGGUUAAUUGAUUUAGAAGUGCUUAAAUUUUUGUUUCAUGUAGCUUACGUAUUUCAUCACUAAGUUACACAUAGUUGCAGAUAUCAUUUGAAACAGCUAAACUGCAUGCAUGGAAUAGUAUCAGGGCCGCCGGACGUCGGUUAAAGAGGACACAAACAUGGAUUUUUUUAAAACGUUGGUUAUUGCCAAAAACGGACAGCUUUCAAUGUAUCUCAGAAAUUUAGAAGAACAUCCUCACACCCUUCUCCCC
Rhopilema esculentum is the source of this 2150-nucleotide non-coding RNA. The record is from RefSeq and is a predicted model, not a curated record. Lineage: Eukaryota; Metazoa; Cnidaria; Scyphozoa; Rhizostomeae; Rhizostomatidae.